RNAcentral lists this long non-coding RNA (2596 nucleotides) under Brassica napus (rape). RNAcentral's name for it is "long non-coding RNA (BNAP_LNC008971)". Lineage: Eukaryota; Viridiplantae; Streptophyta; Magnoliopsida; Brassicales; Brassicaceae. The record is from RNAcentral.
UCUGAUAUUGAUAAGUUAAUGUACUUACUACUUCAACUAAAACAUAAAUCUAACUGAACAUGCAUUUAUUAUUAUAAAUCCGUUUUAGUAAACCCAAUACUAUGGUAUGCUUGUUAAACAUCUGACUAAAGCAAGUUUUUUCUUAAUUAUUUUGAGCGAAACUAUCGAAGCAAGGUUAGUGUAACGUAUUGAAAAAUUAGCUAAAUUAUAUGUAAUGUUAAAGUCAAGGUAUACAUCAUUAUCUAUUAGUACUUAAACUUGUUAAAAUCCAGCUAUUAACACUCAUUCGAGAUGUUAAAAAAACACUUAUUUGUAGGAAACAAUAUAAACGAAAAGGAAUAAAACUUGGGGCAGAAAAAAAGAAAAGAUAUUGUACAGCUAAAAGAAAAGCUUACUUUAAAUAACAUCAGUAUCCUCUUUUGCACGUUAUUCCUAUUCUAUGUGCCUGAGUUUUAGUGCAGUAAUAUUUUAUGCUUAACUAAUAUUAAAUCAAUCAGCAAUUGUUGUCGACAAAAUAUCUGGCUAUACUGAGUUGAUGAGACCUUCCAUGUCAAUUACAAAAUGUUUGAUUGUUAUCUUUCAUCAAUCGCCAUCGUUAGAAUCAGAUAACCUUAAUAUUACCAAUUAAGGACGACCUAAAAGAAAGAAAGAAAAAGAAACGAUUAGAGAAGAUAGGCAGAAAGAGUAUUAAGAAGAAAAAUGUUUAGUUUCACUAAAUAUAUACUAUUAUUUUGACACUUUGAGCAGACUUUUUUUUUAAAUCCUAAAUUAUAUAAACAUGAUGUAUCCAUCAAUUCUUUUCAUUUGUUUGCAUCUUUAAAUAAGAUAUAACUUAUAAAAAUAUUAAUUUUAAUAACUGUAUAUCCAUUUUUACACAUUUCUAGUCAUUGUAUCACAUGUUUAAUGUAAUACAAAAUAAGCUACCAACCAUCAAAUAAGAAUGGAAUCCACAUACUGAGAACAAAAACACGAGAAUCCACUGAUAAUGAUAAUUGAGACGUUACAUUCUCUUUGUCAACCACUUUUCUAUAAAAAUUUCUUAUAUACUAUCACUAACCUUUUGCAAAGAUGUUUUUAUGGCUGUCGAUAUCUAUGUUGCGUAUAUUUAUAAUUGUUAUAUCACCUGUUUAACGAAUUACAAAACAAUGUAUUAAACAUAAAAAAGAAUAAAAUCCAUAUACCGAGAACGAACACGAGAAUCCACUGAUGAUAAUAAUAGUCGAGACGUUACAUUUUUUUUAUCAACCACCUUUAUAUUAGAAUUUAUUGUAUAUUAACACUAUUUUUUUCUAAAUAAGUUUUUACGGUUGUCGAUAUCUAUAGUAUAUAUUUCUAAUCAUUAUAUCACAUGUUUAACGCUAUACAAAACAAAGUACUAAUCGACAAAAAGAGUGAAGAAACCCACAUACCGAGAACGAAGACGAGAAUCCAUUGAUAAUAAUAAUAGUCGAGACGUUACAUUUUCUUUAUCAACCACUUUUAUAUUAAAAUUUAUUUUAUAUUAACACUAUUUUUUUCCAAAGAAGUUUUUACGGUUGUCGAUAUCUAUAUUGCAUAUAUUUCUAUUCAUUAUAUCACAUGUAUAUAUUUCUAAUCAUAAAGUACUAAUCAACAAAAAGAGUGAAACCCAUAUACCGAGAACGAACACGAGAAUCCAUUGAUGAUAAUAAUAGUCGAGACGUUACAUUUUUUUUAUCAACCACUUUUAUAUUAAAAUUUAUUGUAUAUGAACACUAUUUUUUUCCAAAAGUUUUUACGAUUGUCGAUAUCUGAUUAGAUAUAUUUCUAUUCAUUAUAUCACAUGUAUAUAUUUCUAAUCAUAAAGUACUAAUCGACAAAAAGAGUGAAACCCAUAUACCGAGAACGAACACGAGAAUCCACUGAUGAUAAUAAUAGUCGAGACGUUACAUUUUCUUUAUCAACCACUUUUAAAAAUUUUGUAUAUUAACACUAUUUUUCCAAAGAAGUUUUUACAGUUGUCGAUAUCUAUAGUAUAUAUUUCUAACCAUUAUAUCACAUGUUUAAUGCAAUACAAAAAAAUUUAUUAAUCGACAAAAAGAGUGAAACCCACAUACCGAGAACAAAUAUGAGAAUCCACUGAUAAUAACUGUCGAGAUUUUUCAUUUUUUUAAUUAACCACUUCUGCAUAAAAUCUCGCAUAUAUUAACACUAACUUUUCACCCCUAAAUUUAUCAUGAUUACAGUCUAUUUUACGCAUAUUUCUAAAUUUUAUAUCAAUAUUCCACGUAAUACAAAAUAUAAUACACCAAUCAUCUAACAAGAAUGGGACCCACAUACCGAGAACAAACACAAGAAUCCACUGAUAAUAACUGUCUAGUACAUUUUUAAUCAACCACUUCUGCAUAAAAUCUCGCAUAUAUUAACACUAACUUUUUACCCCUAAAUUUAUCAUGAUUACCGUCUAUUUUACGCAUAUUUCUAAAUUUUAUAUCAAUAUUCCACGUAAUACAAGAUAUAAUACACCAAUCAUCGAACAAGAAUGGGACCCACAUACCGAGAACAAACACAAGAAUCCACUGAUAAUAACUGUCGAGAUUUUACAUUUUUUAAUCAACCACUUAUGCAUAAAAUCUCG